RNAcentral lists this ribosomal RNA (461 nucleotides) under Colletotrichum coccodes. RNAcentral's name for it is "eukaryotic LSU rRNA". The stretch from base 96 to 249 matches the Rfam family "5.8S ribosomal RNA". The record is from RNAcentral. Lineage: Eukaryota; Fungi; Ascomycota; Sordariomycetes; Glomerellales; Glomerellaceae.
CUCCCGGCCCUGCCCUCACGGGCGGAGCGCCCGCCGGAGGAUACCAAACUCUAUUUUAACGACGUUUCUUCUGAGUGGCACAAGCAAAUAAUUAAAACUUUCAACAACGGAUCUCUUGGUUCUGGCAUCGAUGAAGAACGCAGCGAAAUGCGAUAAGUAAUGUGAAUUGCAGAAUUCAGUGAAUCAUCGAAUCUUUGAACGCACAUUGCGCCCGCCAGCAUUCUGGCGGGCAUGCCUGUUCGAGCGUCAUUUCAACCCUCAAGCUCUGCUUGGUGUUGGGGCCCUACGGUUGACGUAGGCCUCUUAAAGGUAGUGGCGGACCCUCUCGGAGCCUCCUUUGCGUAGUAACUAACGUCUCGCACUGGGGAUUCGGAAGGGACUCUUGCCGUAAAACCCCCAAAUUUUUAAAGGUUGACCUCGGAUCAGGUAGGAAUACCCGCUGAACUUAAGCAUAUCAAUAG